GAGCACACUAUCGGCAUUCCUUCACCUUCUUUUAUUCAAUUUUUUGGCCACCAAUUCAUAGUUUUUUUUUUUUUUUUUUUUUUGGUGAAGGUAAGUGGUAUAUUGAACUUUGACCAAAAGCUUUACAGCUAUAUAACAAGGAUCCAACACCAAAACUUGCACUCCAAAGACAAGAAGUCAACUCGAGUGGAAGAGUGCCACUGAUUCAUAGUUCAUUUCACGAAAAGUGAAAAAUACUAUCUUGGAGGUUUUACAUCAAAAGUGAAUAAUUCAUAACUCAUAUAAAACUUAUCCUCAAGAUAUAUGCAACCGAUGGAUCAAUAAUGAGGAUAUGUAUGAUGGUCAACUAUUCACAAGGAUCAAAUGAACAUUAGUUUUGACAUCAUUUUUGCAUUUAGGGAAAAAAUCCUCACAUUAGGAAACUUCCUUGACCAAUUACAAGGUGCUCUGGUCGACCUAGAGAAUGGAGUACAGACGCAUGCGCGGGAUCUGAAUCGUGAAAUGUGAAGGCCAUCUCGCUAGAAAGAAAAGGUCAUCAUUAGGGAGUAGCAACCUAUCUUCUUCAAUGCUGAUCAUCCGCUUGAUCCAAUCUUGGAAAUCACCAUCCUGAUUUGCUUGCGCGAUUCCAGCAGACUCGGGGUAGGUUGUGUCCCCAUUAGAAGCUAGCAAUCAUUAUGAGGAAAGGGUCCACCAUAAUUGCUUUUGAAGGGCUUCCCAUUUACUUGUUGAGUCUCUCAGUAAACAAUUGUACAAGGUGUCGAUGAGGUCGAGUCAUUCAUAGUGGACGAGUUAUUGUUACCAAUGAAAGGCAUUGUGCUUACAUGUUUAUCAGUCUCGUGGUGAACAGCAAUAGAAGAAGGCGGGACCGAGGCUAAAUGACCCAAACUGAUGAUUCAAACUAUUACGGCAGCUUUUCCAUCCUUUUUGCUCAAACUGCUCUUCGUUUCGAACUAAAAGAGUCGGCCAGCACCAACUUGGUUGUCUUGUGAACUUUUAUCUCCGCUUUAUUUUGGCUAGCACCAACUUGGUUGCCUACUGAAUCCUCGAUUUGAUCUUCUUUGGUGUCGUGAAAACGCAAAAGGAUUUGUCGGAAGAUGGUUCGAACAUCUUCCAUGGCUCCUCUCUGUAGAUAUUGUGCCCCGGAAUGAGAUGGGUUAGGUAUCAGCAUUCUUGUCACCUUCUCCACCAAAUAGAGGUAGAGUUCCUCUGUCGGAUAUGGCGUCAAAUCUAAGCAAAUCCUUUUCCACGAUCUCUCACUAGAGCCAAAUCAAUGACUUUUACUAAUUUUGUUUUUUUUUCACAAUGCUUUGGUGUAUUAUACUAAUAUGAGUCUUGGCUUGCCCUAUUCAUGAAUCUAUCUAUAACUUCUUGAGAUGAAAGAGAUGUACAUGAUCAUCUAAAUCUUUUUUAAAUAAGACCAUUUUAGGAAAAAGUGUCAAAAAAGUCACAAACAUAUUGUAUCGCUACUGAUUUAGUUUUAAUAAACCUUACAAUGGUGUCGAUUUAAUCAUUAACCUUUUGAUAUAGAGUCAAUUCAAUCUUUCUGGUUAAUUUUGGUCGAGUAUUGUUGACGCGAACAUCAACUAGCCUAUGUGGCCCUUCCAACAUAAACACCGACAAUUUUUAAUAAUAAUUGAAUAUUUUCCCGGAUAUUUAUUUUUAUUUUCUCUUAUUUUCUCUUCUUCUUAUUUUUUUUUCACUUCUUCUUCCUUUUGUUGUUGACCGACCACUGUAACCAUGGCUGAGCUGGCCUCGCCCAAGCCAAAUCUAGCAAGGUCAACGUUUGCCUAGGCUAGGGCGACCUCGUCGAGCAUCGCCUUCACUCGAGCAACGCCCUAGCCUAGGCAAGGGCUAGCCUCAUCAAAUUUGGUGAGGGGAACCUUGGUCAAGCCUCACCCAGGUGAGACUAGCCUAACCAUCACGGUGGCCGGUCACCUACAAAAGAAUGAAGAAGGGAAAAAAUCAGAAAAAAAAACUACUUAUAUAUAUAAAUUGUCUAUGUUAGCGCCAGCAAUGUCGCGUAGAUUGGCAAGUAUCCACAUCAACAAUAUCAAGCCAAAAUUAGCUACAAAGACUAAAUUGACAUUAGGUUAAGAGGUUUAUAACUAAAUUAGCACCAUUAAAAUGUUUGGGGCUAAAUUGGCAUCAAUACAAUAUGUUUAUGACUUUUUCGACAUUUUUCCUGACCAUUUUAUAGUAAUUCAAGCUGUCACUUCAAAAUUGUAUCUUGCCAUUAUCUUAUUGUGUUAAAUCUAGAUAUGACAUGAACACAUCUCUAAAAUUCUGACAUGGCUUAACACAAUAAGACACUAUUACAUAUAAAUUAAUAGAAUGAUUAGGGAAAAUUAUCUAAAAAAUCCUAAACUUAUUACACUUUUACCAACUAAGUCUUAAACCGUUUAAUGUUACCAAUUAAGUCAUAAACCUCUCAUCUUUUGCCAAUUGAAUCUAUCCGAACAAAAUUGACCAAAUGGACUCAAUUGACAAAAGAUGAAAAUGUUUAGUACUAAAAUGACAGAAAUGCUAUAUAUUUAGGACUUUUUGGUCAAUUUUCUCAUCUUUAAAUUUAUAUAUCAAUUUGGGGUGAUAAAAAAAAAUACAAGUUUGCACAUAUUUAAAUUACAUUAAGUUCAACAACUUCGCCAUUCAGCCACUUUGAUCUUUAAAAAUAGAGAUUUUAAGAGAAAAUCAUUCAAAAAGUGCUAAAUCUAUUGUAAUUUUUGCAAUUCAAUUUUGAACUUUGCAAUUUUACUAAAUGAGUCAUAAAUAUUUCCAUAUUUUGCUAAUUAAAUCUAUUUGGCUAAUUUUGGCCAGAAAUUGCUUACGUGGACAUCAACAUCCUAUGUGGCACGGCCAGCCAACGUAAACAAUUUUUAAUAAUAUUUUUUGAAUUUUUUAUUAAUUAUUAUUUUUUUCUUUCUUUUUCUUUUUCUUUUUUAAUUAUGGAAGGGUCACCAGGCCCUCGUUGGCCAUUGGGCGGCCCUUGUUGACCGUUGGCAAGGCUGCAACCUAGUCGCUUGCUAGUCUUGUUGGAAGAUCAUCGCGGGAUUUCAGGAAAUCUACAAGAAAGAAAAAAACACGUGCGACAAAAAGGGCGUCGUUGGUGUGGCUGUGGUAAGUUCAGCCACGGCUCUAGGUUUCUCUGUAAAUAAUAGUGAUUCCAAAACACCCCAAUAGCGAGCUUUAAUCGCACUAAAGCAGCCUCACCGACGCCUUGUAGCUCUUCCCAAUGCAAUAAUAAUAAUUAUAAAGAAUGAAAAGAAAAAGAAAAAAAUUAUUAAAAUUUAUCCACAUCAGCAUCGAUCAUGCUAUGUAGGACGUCUAACGUUCAUGUCAACAAUUUCUGACCAAAACUGGCCAGAUAGACUCAAUUGCAAAAAGUAAAAAAGUUUAAGACUCGAUUGGUAAAAUUGAAAUAUUUGUAACUAAACUAAAAAAAGUGCAAAAAGUUUAAGACUUUUUAAACAAUUUUCUCAAAAUUUCAAUAUGCUGUGUCGAACACGUAUCAUAGUUUUUGCACGACAAAUGUGUUAGUCAAAAGGAAAUUCCAUAAUCUGUAAAAACAAUUCAAAAGCAACUAAAGAGUAUCCUCGAAACUUGAUAUUUAGGCAAUGUGCAAGCAUUUCAACUCAAUUAUGACAAAAAAAAAACAAGUAUUUCAACCCAAAGUAAAUUCAACAAGCACAUUCAUCUUCAUAGCCUGAAACUUAGUGUCGAAUUAUUAAACUUUCCCUUACACCUAGUCUCAAGAGCACAAAUCUAUGUAUCUCUAGUAAUUAUCUUAUAUGUAUGAGACAAAGAGACUAUAACACUGAACAGGAACGACUCGAGUGCUUGAAGAGUCAUAGACACCAUUUAUAUGAAAUAAAUAAUCAAAUUUAAUUCAAAUGAAGUGUUAAAAGAAACUAAAUUACACGAGAGUUCAGAGAUGGAAUUCAACUAUUGUCAGAGCACACAAUCGGCAUUCCUUCAACUUCUUUUAUUUAAUUUUUUGGCCACUGAUUCAUAGUUCAUUUCAUGAAAAGUGAAAAAAUACCAUCUUGGAGAUUUUACAUCAAAAGUGAUUAAUUUAUAGCUCAUGUAAAACUGAUCCUCAAGAUAUAUGCAACCGAUGGAUCAGUAAUGAGGAUACUUACAAUGGUCUAACUAUUCACAAAAAUCAAAUGAACAUUAGUUUUGACAUCAUAUUUGCAAAUAGGGAAAAAAAUCCUCGCAUUAGGAAACUUCCUUGACCAAUUACAAGGUGCUCUGGUCGACCUGGAGUAUGGAGUAUGGAGUACAAACGCAUGCGCGGGAUCUGAAUCAUGAAAUGUGAAGGCCAUCUCGCUGGAAAGAAAAGGUCAUCAUUAGGGAGUAGCAACCUAUCUUCUUCUAUGCUGAUCAUCCGCUUGAUCCAUCCUGAUUUGCUUGCGUGAUUCCAGCAGAUUCGGGGUAGGUUGUGUCCCCAUUAGAAGCUAGCAAUCAUUAUGAGGAAA
RNAcentral lists this long non-coding RNA (4475 nucleotides) under Eucalyptus grandis. RNAcentral's name for it is "long non-coding RNA (EGRA_LNC006635)". The record is from RNAcentral. Lineage: Eukaryota; Viridiplantae; Streptophyta; Magnoliopsida; Myrtales; Myrtaceae.